This 229-nucleotide long non-coding RNA is filed under the name Medicago truncatula (barrel medic). Its description in RNAcentral is "long non-coding RNA (MTRU_LNC005347)". The record is from RNAcentral. Lineage: Eukaryota; Viridiplantae; Streptophyta; Magnoliopsida; Fabales; Fabaceae.
AUUUCUAGAGAGAGAAAGUGGGAAGAGAAGAUAAGGGUUUGGAGAGAAGAACUUGAAGAAUCCAAUUGGGAAAGCUUAGGAGCUAAAUUGAAGCCUAGGUUUGGUCUAAUCUUCAUCUAAGGUAAGGGGGUUAGUCUUUAUCAUAAUCAUGUUCAUUCUUUGCAAUUUUUCAUGAUUUGUAUGAAAUGGGUUGAAAUGAAUGAAUGGAUAAUUGUUGCUAAAUUCGUGC